RNAcentral lists this ribosomal RNA (505 nucleotides) under uncultured bacterium. RNAcentral describes it as "partial 16S ribosomal RNA". It matches the Rfam family "Bacterial small subunit ribosomal RNA", at positions 28 to 507 of the family's 1533-position model. The record is from RNAcentral.
GACGAACGCUGGCGGCGUGCCUAAUACAUGCAAGUAGAACGCACAGUUUAUACCGUAGCUUGCUACACCAUAGACUGUGAGUUGCGAACGGGUGAGUAACGCGUAGGUAACCUGCCUGGUAGCGGGGGAUAACUAUUGGAAACGAUAGCUAAUACCGCAUAAUAUUAAUUAUUGCAUGAUAAUUAAUUGAAAGGUGCAAUUGCACCACUACCAGAUGGACCUGCGUUGUAUUAGCUAGUAGGUGAGGUAACGACUCACCUAGGCGACGAUACAUAGCCGACCUGAGAGGGUGAUCGGCCACACUGGGACUGAGACACGGCCCAGACUCCUACGGGAGGCAGCAGUAGGGAAUCUUCGGCAAUGGACGAAAGUCUGACCGAGCAACGCCGCGUGAGUGAAGAAGGUUUUCGGAUCGUAAAGCUCUGUUGUAAGAGAAGAACGGGUGUGAGAGUGGAAAGUUCACACUGUGACGGUAUCUUACCAGAAAGGGACGGCUAACUACGUG